GACGAACGCUGGCGGCGUGCCUAACACAUGCAAGUCGAACGGAGAUGUUGAUUUCGGUUGACGUCUUAGUGGCGAACGGGUGAGUAACGCGUGAACAAUCUGACCUUAAGAGGGGGAUAACAACGAGAAAUCGUUGCUAAUACCGCAUAAGACCACAAUGCCGCAUGGCGAAGGGGUCAAAGGAGCAAUCCGCUUAAGGAGGGGUUCGCGUCCCAUUAGGUAGUAGGUGAGGUAACGGCCCACCUAGCCGACGAUGGGUAACCGAGCUGAGAGGCUGAUCGGCCACACUGGAACUGAGACACGGUCCAGACUCCUACGGGAGGCAGCAGUGGGGAAUAUUGGGCAAUGGGCGCAAGCCUGACCCAGCAACGCCGCGUGAGGGAAGAAGGUUUUCGGAUUGUAAACCUCUGUCGCAGAUAACGAAACAAAUGACGGUAAUCUGUGAGGAAGCCCCGGCUAACUACGUGCCAGCAGCCGCGGUAAU
This 484-nucleotide ribosomal RNA is filed under the name uncultured bacterium. Its description in RNAcentral is "bacterial SSU rRNA". It matches the Rfam family "Bacterial small subunit ribosomal RNA", at positions 28 to 524 of the family's 1533-position model. The record is from RNAcentral.